RNAcentral lists this ribosomal RNA (1386 nucleotides) under Triticum aestivum (bread wheat). RNAcentral describes it as "partial small subunit ribosomal RNA". The record is from RNAcentral. Lineage: Eukaryota; Viridiplantae; Streptophyta; Magnoliopsida; Poales; Poaceae.
AUGGGCAAGGCGGCGAGGUGGCUGCGCGGCCUGCUGGGCGGCGGCGGGAAGAAGGAGCAGGGGAAGGAGCAUAGGCGGCCGGCCACGUCCACGGCGCCGCACGGGGACAGGAAGCGCUGGAGCUUCUGCAAGUCCACCAGGGACUCAGCCGAGGCGGAGGCGGCGGCCGCGGCCGCCGCGCUCAGCGGCAACGCGGCGAUCGCGCGGGCGGCCGAGGCGGCGUGGCUCAAGUCCUUGUACAACGAGACCGAGCGGGAGCAGAGCAAGCACGCCAUCGCCGUCGCCGCGGCCACCGCGGCGGCGGCCGACGCUGCCGUGGCCGCGGCGCAGGCCGCCGUGGAGGUCGUGCGGCUCACCAGCAAAGGGCCGACGUCGACGGUGCUCGCCGUCGCCGUCGCGGAGCCCCGUGGCCGCGCCUCCGCCGCGGUCAAGAUCCAGACAGCGUUCCGUGGCUUCCUGGCCAAGAAGGCUCUGCGCGCGCUCAAGGGGCUGGUGAAGCUGCAGGCGCUCGUGCGCGGCUACCUGGUGCGCAAGCAGGCGGCGGCCACGCUGCAGAGCAUGCAGGCGCUCGUCCGCGCGCAGGCCUGCAUCCGCGCCGCCCGCUCGCGCGCCGCCGCGCUCCCCACGAACCUUCGCGUCCACCCCACUCCUGUCCGGCCGCGCUACUCGCUGCAAGAGCGGUACAGCACCACUGAGGAUUCCCGGAGCGACCACAGCGUGGCGCCGUACUACAGCCGCCGGCUGUCGGCGAGCGUGGAGUCGUCGUCGUGCCACGGGUACGACCGGAGCCCCAAGAUCGUGGAGAUGGACACCGGCCGGCCCAAGUCGCGCUCCUCCUCGCUCCGGACGACCUCCCCCGGCGCCAGCGAGGAGUGCUACGCCCACUCGGUGUCGUCGCCGCUCAUGCCGUGCCGGGCGCCCCCGCGGAUCGCCGCGCCGACCGCGCGCCACUUCCCGGAGUACGAGUGGUGCGAGAAGGCCCGGCCGGCGACGGCGCAGAGCACGCCCCGGUACGCGAGCUACGCGCCCGUCACGCCGACCAAGAGCGCGUGCGGCGGCUACACCUACAGCAACAGCCCGUCGACGCUCAACUGCCCCAGCUACAUGUCGGGCACGCAGUCGUCCGUGGCGAAGGUGCGGUCGCAGAGCGCGCCGAAGCAGCGGCCGGAGGAGGGCGCGGUGCGGAAGAGGGUGCCGCUGAGCGAGGUGAUCAUCCUGCAGGAGGGCCGGGCGAGCCUGAGCGGCGGCACGCAGAGGUCGUGCAACCGGCCGGCGCAGGAGGAGGCGUUCAGCUUCAAGAAGGCCGUGGUGAGCCGCUUCGACCGCUCGUCGGAGGCGGCCGAGAGGGAACGGGACCGGGACCUGUUCCUGCAGAAGGGAUGGUGA